Molecule: small RNA, 66 nt
Filed under: marine eukaryotic metagenome
Description: ASdes TB sRNA
Rfam family: ASdes TB sRNA
Source: RNAcentral
UUCGAUCGGAUCCACGGCCCGGGUGACGACCAGGUAAUCGCGGAUCGCGGUGCCGUGUCGAUCCUC